This 497-nucleotide ribosomal RNA is filed under the name uncultured bacterium. RNAcentral's name for it is "partial 16S ribosomal RNA". It matches the Rfam family "Bacterial small subunit ribosomal RNA", at positions 28 to 507 of the family's 1533-position model. The record is from RNAcentral.
GAUGAACGCUGGCGGCGUGCCUAAUACAUGCAAGUCGAGCGAACAGACGAGGAGCUUGCUCCUCUGACGUUAGCGGCGGACGGGUGAGUAACACGUGGAUAACCUACCUAUAAGACUGGGAUAACUUCGGUAAACCGGAGCUAAUACCGGAUAAUAUAUUGAACCGCAUGGUUCAAUAGUGAAAGACGGUUUUGCUGUCACUUAUAGAUGGAUCCGCGCCGCAUUAGCUAGUUGGUAAGGUAACGGCUUACCAAGGCAACGAUGCGUAGCCGACCUGAGAGGGUGAUCGGCCACACUGGAACUGAGACACGGUCCAGACUCCUACGGGAGGCAGCAGUAGGGAAGCUUCCGCAAUGGGCGAAAGCCUGACGGAGCAACGCCGCGUGAGUGAUGAAGGUCUUCGGAUCGUAAAACUCUGUUAUUAGGGAAGAACAAAUGUGUAAGUAACUAUGCACGUCUUGACGGUACCUAAUCAGAAAGCCACGGCUAACUACGUG